RNAcentral lists this transfer-messenger RNA (364 nucleotides) under Paenibacillus albiflavus. It matches the Rfam family "transfer-messenger RNA". Rfam says of the family: Bacterial tmRNA, also known as 10Sa RNA or SsrA, is named for its dual tRNA and mRNA-like properties. Its role is to liberate the mRNA from a stalled ribosome. To accomplish this part of the tmRNA is used as a reading frame that ends in a translation stop signal. The record is from Rfam by way of RNAcentral. RNAcentral also lists the same sequence under 1 other name. Lineage: Bacteria; Bacillati; Bacillota; Bacilli; Caryophanales; Paenibacillaceae.
GGGGGCGUUUUUGGAUUCGACGGGGAUAGUUCGAGCAUGGAUAGCGGGUAGUGGGGAGCGUCCGCUUCAUCAACGCUAAAGCCUAUUAAACGGCAAACAAAACAACAACUUCGCAUUCGCAGCUUAAUAACCUGUGAGCGAGCUUCUACCUUGUAUCGCCCAUGUACCAGGAUAGGGGCCCAACUUUAGUGGGAUACGCUGUCACAUCUCCGCCUGGGGUGUGCUGAAGAAGACAAUCAGGCUGACCUAGGAAGAAGCCGGUUACGGGGCGUCAGCCUAGGUGACAUCAAAUCUGUGACUACACCCGUAGAAGUCUAUGUGGCGUUGUCUUCGGACAGGGGUUCGACUCCCCUCGCCUCCAUAC